GAAUUUUGUAAGCACAAAGCAGAGCAAUGUCGCUUUUGAUACACAAUAAAUUAUUUUAAAAGAAUCGCCGUAUCUAAAAUGAUGGACAAUUUCGGCCCAUGUAAAAAAAAUAAUGUAUAAUACUAAAUACAUUUACUAAAGCCACAGUCAUUUUUCGGUUAUUAAUAUACAGCGGCGCAACCAGGAAAGUGGGUGAUGGGGUCAUUUGGGUAUCUGAACAUUCCCUUCCAUCUGUGUUCGAGUGAUACAAACGCAUUCAAUUUUUUUUUUAUAUGUAGACGUGUGAUCAGCCUUCUUUCGAAACAAUCCUUGUUG
Molecule: non-coding RNA, 315 nt
Organism: Cinara cedri
Lineage: Eukaryota; Metazoa; Arthropoda; Insecta; Hemiptera; Aphididae
Source: the annotation of a GenBank genome assembly